Molecule: ribosomal RNA, 3571 nt
Filed under: Trifarina earlandi
Lineage: Eukaryota; Foraminifera; Rotaliida; Uvigerinidae
Description: SSU rRNA
Rfam family: Eukaryotic small subunit ribosomal RNA
Source: RNAcentral
CUCAAGAUUAAGCCAUGCAAGUGGUUACAUUAACCCGACAGUUUAAAUAAGUGUUCAUUGCUAUCCGCAUAACACGCACAAUGCACAUGUACGCAUAAUACACACACAUACACAUCUGUUAUGCCGUACAAGCAUUAGGCAUAAAUUUUGUUUGCGAUAGUAACAAAAUUUCAGCGUGAAUCACACAUACAUACGCACAGUGAAUCACAGCGAAAUUUUACACAUUUCAACGUAUCACUUACGCAACUGCAGACAGCUGCUUAAUACAGUCACACUUGUCUUGACUUGGCACACCCACACACACAUACACACACACACACACGAUUUCUCUGUAACGCAUAUUCAUACAAGAAGCACAAUUGCGUUACACCGUGACACUUUUUAUCUUUUUUAUGGAUAACUCAGGGAAAGUUUGGCUAAUACGUACGAGUACAUACACACACACACACACACACACUCACACAUAUACACUACUCAGCACUCAAUGGUAAACUUUGAUUUACGCAUAUUUUAUGCGUCUAUCAGUUUAAAGUUUAACCGCAACAUGAGAGACAUUGAGCACGCACGUGUAAUGUGAAUUCGUCUCACGUUACACACCUACGCUGAGCAGACUUUGCGAAGUUUACUUUUGCGAAGCAUGUCAUACAAGCAUCUACAGCAUCAAGUCACAGGGUUGGCAAGUGUAUUUUUGAACCUUCAAAGCAGUCACGCAUACGGAAGAGUAGUUUCUGAUCCCAUAGAAGGAGCACCGUACAAUGAGAGACCGCUCUUAGUUCUAAGGAACGCAGCAGGCGCGUAAAUUGCCCAAUGCUAGUACCCUACAAUCAUACUUUUAUUGCAAUUUACUAUUAUACGCAUUACGACACUAUUUAUAGAUUUAUUUUUAUUCUGUCAUACACACACACAUCCUUGUUCACACGCGUAAAGUAGAAAUUAUAUAUAUCAUGUAUAUUUUAUUUACUGAGGCAGUGACAAGCUGUAACGGUUGAGUAUAAAAAUGACGAGUGUCUGGCAUUGCCGCUCUUUCGGGAGCUUGGCAAGUUGCCGACGCUUUGUGUGCUCAAUUGGAAUGCGGUGAGUUUAAGCAACUCAGAACCUUUUAACGGUGUUACGUAAAAAUUUCACUGUUGAUGUAUCUGAAUUUCAAGUGGAGGGCAAGUCUGGUGCNNNNNNCCGCGGUAAUACCAGCUCCACUGGCCUAUACAAUCAUUGUUGCGGUUAAGAGGCUCGUAGUUGGAUUGAACUGCUAAUAUGAAUUUUUUUAUUCGCUAAUAAAUUCUGUUCAUAUUUCAGUACUUACGUAAUAUAUUAUAUAUAUAUAUUUUAUUUUCUGUGUGCUUCGCGCAUCAGAUAAUAUACACGGUAUAUAUGUAUGUAUGUUUCGUUCGACGCUGUUAUAUUUAAUAUACGCGUCUUGUAUAUUUUCUACGCACAAUUUUUUUUCUUGCGAUACGACAUACACACACACACACAUUUAUGUUAACUCGCACACAGGAACUUUUUUGUCGCAUAGUAAUUUAUUCGCAAUACACACACACNCAUAUUUCAACACUGUGAACAAAUCAGAGUGUAUCAAACAUGUCGUUUUUGAAUGUGCAUUGAAUGUCUUAUCAUGGGAUGUUGCACUUUCAUACCGGUUAAAGAUUUACAUCUUCGAUCAGCGCGCGACACACACACACACACACACGCACGCACAACAUGUUACGCAUACACACAUACGCAUCACUGCGUAAUUUACAAGAUCGCUAAAUAUUUCUUUARCGGUAUAAAAAUGUCGAUGAGGGAUAGUUGGAGAUCAACAGUACCUGCUGGGCGAGAGGUGAAAUUCWUUGACCCUAGCAAGACUACCAAAAGCGAAAGCAGUUGGCUAGGCUAUACUCUUUUGUGAUUUAUUAUAUACGCUACAUACACAUAUAUAUAUUUUUUUUUACGCACACACACACAUACAUACUCUGCGCAUAACACAAAUAUAUAUUUACGUACACGCGUUUAUUAUAAUACACUUUACAAUGAAGAACGAAGGUUGGGGGAUCAAAGAGGAUCAGAUACCCUCGUCGUCCCAUUAAUUACAUCAAACGAUGGGCUCUCAAUUGCAUUUAUUCACAAUAAACUGCAAAUUUCCUCAGCCUACAAAAUUUAUUCGGCUUGAGCUCGUGAUUCUAUCACGCUCGCCUAUAGUAUUUUUUCGUAUGGUCUCGAUGGACGUUUCAUUUAUUUAUAUUUUUUGCGUGUAAGCAUUAUGUUAUUCUUUGAAACAUAAGAAUGCAUUGCGUGCACUUGAUUUUCGGAGCUUUGCGCUCAAUUCUGGUGAGAUGUAAGCACUAUGUUAUUCUGCCCGUAUCCGUAUGUGUUUAUUCACAUUUCGCGAUAUCGUGUGCAGUAUUUAACAAUUUCGGUGUGAAGCACGCUUUAGGCACGCGCUUACUGCAGAAAUGUCUGAGACAUUCCCCUCCGGGGGUAGUAUGCACGCAAGUGUGAAACUUGAAGGAAUUGACGGAAGGGCACCACAAGAACGCGUGGAGCAUGUGGCUUAAUUUGACUCAACGCGGGAAAUCUUACCGGGUCCGGACACACUGAGGAUUGACAGGCAAUAUUAAUAUAUACUUUUUUGCAUUCCUUCGGGUAUGUUAAAUGUCAUAUAUUAUGUUAAAUAUGCUAGUCCUUUCAUGAUUAUGUGAUAGGUGGUGCAUGGCCGUUCUUAKUUCGUGGAGUGAUCUGUCUGCUUAAUUGCGUUUCACUAAGGGCCUAUACAAUUACSUAUGUUGUUAUUACACUUUGACCCCUCCUUCACGGGUGCGUGUGUCUUUGACUGUUUCAACUCAUACAAUUASGUCCUGAAAGCAACGAACGUGACCGCAACCUCUUGUUGCUUUCGUAUACCCUUAUAACACAGUUUUUAUGCUCUUACGUAUUAAUUUCUGUGCAAGAAAGCUUUUUAAACUARAGGGACCGCUGUUAUCUUCUUAAACCAGAGGAAGGUUGCGGCAAUAACAGGUCUGUGAUGCCCUUAGAUGUUCCGGGCUGCACACGUGCUACAAUGAUUAUUGCAGUGAGCAUCUCAUUUUUAUAUACACCGCAUGCGCGAGUCCAUUUAUUCNNUUUCUCUACCUUCACGGGUAUCGCUGUUUUAAAUGUGUAUCUCUCCGCGCGGUAAAGCCUGCUUCGAGAGUAAGUGGGUAAUCAAUUAGAAGUAAUGAUUCCUUUUUUUCUGCACACAUAUAUACGGCAGUUAUACCCGGGUAACCUUGUUGUUACUUUUCUGUGUGUAUAGCUGUACCCUUUUUCCGUAUGUGCGAUUGUCAAUUCAUGGUGGGGACAGACCAUUGUUAAUUGUUGGUCUCGGUCUUAACUAGGAAUGCCUUGUACGGGUCUUUGGUUCAACAAACCACCCGGAACACGUCCCUGCCCUUUGUACACACCGCCCGUCGCUCUUACCGAUGGACUUCUCUGUGAGUUUGAGGGACUGGGAACGCAAUUGGAUUUUAUCCACAUUGCACACCUAUGGAAACUUAAACGAACAGUGUGGUCUAAAGGAAAGAGAAGUCGUAACAAGGCAUCAGUAGGUGAACCU